Long non-coding RNA from Acanthopagrus latus (yellowfin seabream), 1348 nucleotides. RefSeq lists it as uncharacterized. The transcript is spliced from 2 exons. Lineage: Eukaryota; Metazoa; Chordata; Actinopteri; Spariformes; Sparidae. The record is from RefSeq and is a predicted model, not a curated record.
CAACGCUCCACCCCAGGAUGGCUCCGCCUCUGUGGGAGUUCGUAUCGGUAAAGUUGGAAAUAUAUUCACAGGGAUCCUAAAUAAUGAAGGAAAACAUGGAACACUCAAGUGAAACCAAAGAAAAGCUGUGACGGCACCACAUGCAUAUAUCUUCCAUGAAGAAAUGAAUGAACUGGACAGGAAGUGGAAAUAAACUUGAGACGUGCUCAGGUCUCUCGAGACAUUUUGUUAUUGACUGGAAACUUGAGCUUGUCGAGUUGUCUAACAGUUUCAGUGGAGCCGUAUUGAAACGAGACCUUCAGAUUUGUGUUCUGGAGCCGUCUGACAAACAUCUUUAUCCAGACUGAUACAUGAGGACGAGGACGCUGCACACUGUUUCUGCUCUGGUGCUUUUUAUAUCUGUUUUGAUUCUUCUUGUGUAUGUGGGAGACUUCGGCCUGUGAAGCGCAGCCUGCUGUUUCUCCUCCACCUCAUGUCAUCCACACUUCAACCAACGCCUGUUUCAGUCACGUAUCACUGCCAACUGGAUUCUGUUUAGUCAUCCAUGACAGUCCUGUUGUGUGCUGCAUGUGUCAAGAAGCAAAUGUGGACUUUAUCCUGAUCUGGUUUUCUGGAUAUCGUCUGGAUUUCACGUGUGAAAGAGACUCGAGGACAGAAGACAGUAUUCUGGUUUUCUGUCGAUUCAGGUUCAAAUGAAUCAUCUCGUAUCGUUUUAUAACGAGGUCGUGAAACAAGGUUAAGUUUGUAGAACGCACAAGAACAGAAAAGAAACGGAAGGACUGGUAAAAAAUAAGUCAUGAGAAUAAAUGAUUGUUUAAUGUUGGAGUGUUGAGGAUGAGUUCAGGUGUCAGGUGAACAUUUGGUCCUAAGAGGAGGUUAUUUUUUAACACUAUUGAUUAACUGCUGUGACGAUGGUUUAAUACACUGUGUUUCUUUUAAAACACCAUCAUGUGUCUGUGUCUGUUGUUAAGGUACAAAUUGUAUAUAUUUUAUGUACAGUGAGCCUCUGAAUGUCCAGACAGCUCCACGUAAUGAUUGUUAUAUACUGUAUAGAUGUUUUGUGAACAUAUCACAGCUAUUUGGGUUUUAAAGCUUUAUUUUCAUGUUUGUUGUGUUUUGUCCUGUUUGAAAAUAAAGCACAAAGAAACACUGGAGCUCAACUUGAGUCCUGCUCUGCAAACACUCCACAGUUCUGGAUCUUACAGAUGCUUCUACUGACCUCUUCUGGAGGAGUUUCAUGCCUGCAGCCUCUUCCAGCAGGGAUCUGACCUCAACAUGACUGUAACUGACAGAAAAUAAUAUGAUAACAGCAUGACAAUAAUAUAAUAAACUACUUCAUACAAAUCAA